AUUGAACGCUGGCGGCAUGCCUUACACAUGCAAGUCGAACGCGAAAGGGGGGCAACUCCUGAGUAGAGUGGCGAACGGGUGAGUAAUACAUCGGAACAUAUCCAGUAGCGGGGGAUAACCUCGAGAAAUCGAGGCUAAUACCGCAUACGUCCUACGGGAGAAAGCAGGGGACCGCAAGGCCUUGCACUAUUGGAGUGGCCGAUGUCGGAUUAGCUAGUUGGCGGGGUAAAAGCCCACCAAGGCGACGAUC
Molecule: ribosomal RNA, 250 nt
Filed under: uncultured bacterium
Lineage: Bacteria
Description: partial 16S ribosomal RNA
Rfam family: Bacterial small subunit ribosomal RNA
Source: RNAcentral